This 506-nucleotide ribosomal RNA is filed under the name Pareledone aequipapillae. Its description in RNAcentral is "partial 16S ribosomal RNA". It matches the Rfam family "Bacterial large subunit ribosomal RNA", at positions 1817 to 2597 of the family's 2925-position model. Lineage: Eukaryota; Metazoa; Mollusca; Cephalopoda; Octopoda; Octopodidae. The record is from RNAcentral.
GUCUCUUUGAUAUAUAAUAAUAAGGAGUUGGGCCUGCUCGGUGAUAUUUUUAACAGCUGCGGUAUUAUAACUGUACUAAGGUAGCAUAAUAAUUUGCCUUAUAAAUUAGGGCUAGAAUGAAUGGUUUGACGAAAAUUAUACUGUCUCUACUUUAAUUAUUAGAAAUUAAUUUUUAUAGUGAAAAAGCUUGGAUGAUUUAAAGGGACGAGAAGACCCUAUUGAGCUUUAUGUUAAAAUAUAUAUAAUUAUAAAAUAUUAUUUAUUUUUUAUUUUUGGUUGGGGUGAUCAAGGAAUAAAAUUUUAAUAGUAUAAUUUCCUUAUUAAUAUUAUUUGUUAGAAUAAUAAACCAAAAAUUUUGCUUAAAUGAUAAGUUACCAUAGGGAUAACAGCGUAAUUUUUUUAGAGAGUUCAUAUUAAAAAAAAAGAUUGCGACCUCGAUGUUGGAUUAAAAUAACCAUUAGGUGUAGAAGCUUUAUUUGGUAAAUCUGUUCGAUUUUUAAAAUUUU